Molecule: long non-coding RNA, 1152 nt
Organism: Setaria italica (foxtail millet)
Lineage: Eukaryota; Viridiplantae; Streptophyta; Magnoliopsida; Poales; Poaceae
Exons: 2
Source: RefSeq, a predicted model, not a curated record
CAUGACUCCCACCACCACCACCGAGUAGCCGAAAGUUUCUCGACAGAAAAUGGUGCCAAGCUCCCCCACCAGGCCACCACCGCCGACUCCUCGGUUCUCACUGCCACAGCAGUCCUCUCCGGUGCCCAGCCAUUACCAGUCAGGCAGUCACCACCACCACCACCACCUCCCGGAGUCCCGAGCCCCAUCCAUUCGCAACCUCCGCGCCGCCUGCCUGCGGCCUCCAAUUCCAAUCCGUCCUCACCACCGGUGGUCCGGUCAUCUCCUCUGCUCCCACUACGCUCCCUCCCUGCUGUUCCCCUACCCGAUCUUCCAGAUUUGGCCUGAAGAAGUAUCUAGGUGAUUCUGCUAGUAAGUCAUGUGGAUUCUUACAGUCUCAUUCUUUCAUUUCCUUUGAUUUGCAGGUGGAAAUGCGUUUAUAUAUUUCUAAAAGGUACUGAUAACUUAAGAAACCAACCGGCGGAAUUACUUGAUCAUUAAUGUUCAAAAAAAAGAAUUACUUGAUCAUGUCUGGCGUCCAAGUAUCUGCAGGAGCCUGUGAUUCAUCGGCAGUUGUUCUGGCACAGCCCCAGCAGCAGCUGCUGCUGCUGCUGCAAGAGGUCACCGUCACCCAGUUUUCUCCUGAAGCAGUCGAUGGAAUCAUAACCAGUGAAGUUGUUCUGGCGCCGCCUCAGCAGCAGCAGCAGGAGCAAAUUGAAGGUAUGCAACGUGCUUGUAGUCUUGGAUCUCCUCGCUUUGAUGGGGGCAUUGACUUUCGGCUCCGCCAGAAGCACAAUGGAUUACGUUUACGAAGGCAUAUUGCUGGUGCUUGUGUUUGUCUCCAUUAUCGUGGCAAGAAUUAUCGAGCGGCUCAAAUGGAAUGCAUAAGAAUGUAGGAGUACUUAUGCCCGUAACCUAGCUGCACAAUUCAAGCCCGGUUGCAUGCACAGGAGUUUAGUAGCCAUGUACUGAAAUGGAUAUAUGGUGUUAUGUCUUUAGCUUUUUACUACUUCUUUAGGGCUUAGGUAGCUGUGUGGAUCACAGCUAUGUAUGUAUCAUCUUGACGUAGUUGUCUAAGAUUAAUAAAGCUUCUCUUAUCAAAGAAUAGAAGACAAAUCUAGCCUUCUUAAAUUGAGUAAACCGAGCUAUUGCAAACGUUCAUGUAUCGGAGAA